RNAcentral lists this ribosomal RNA (253 nucleotides) under uncultured bacterium. Its description in RNAcentral is "partial 16S ribosomal RNA". It matches the Rfam family "Bacterial small subunit ribosomal RNA", at positions 524 to 776 of the family's 1533-position model. The record is from RNAcentral.
UACGUAGGAGGCGAGCGUUGUCCGGAUUUACUGGGCGUAAAGCGCGCGCAGGCGGCAGUGCAAGUAAGGUGUGAAAUCUCCCUGCUCAACGGGGAGGGUGCACUUUAAACUGCACAGCUCGAGGUCGGUAGAGGGGGGUGGAAUUGCUGGUGUAGCGGUGAAAUGCGUAGAGAUCAGCAGGAACACCCGUGGCGAAGGCGGCCCCCUGGGCCGUACCUGACGCUGAGGCGCGAAGGCUAGGGGAGCGAACGGG